Molecule: ribosomal RNA, 372 nt
Filed under: uncultured bacterium
Lineage: Bacteria
Description: bacterial SSU rRNA
Rfam family: Bacterial small subunit ribosomal RNA
Source: RNAcentral
AACGAACGCUGGCGGCAGGCCUAACACAUGCAAGUCGAACGCCGUAGCAAUACGGAGUGGCAGACGGGUGAGUAACGCGUGGGAACAUACCCCUCGGUUCGGAAUAACUUAGGGAAACUUGAGCUAAUACCGGAUACGUCCGAGGUUUUAACCGGCCUCGGAGAAAGAUUUAUCGCCGGAGGAUUGGCCCGCGUCUGAUUAGCUUGUUGGUGAGGUAAUGGCUCACCAAGGCGACGAUCAGUAGCUGGUCUGAGAGGAUGAUCAGCCACAUUGGGACUGAGACACGGCCCAAACUCCUACGGGAGGCAGCAGUGGGGAAUAUUGGACAAUGGGCGAAAGCCUGAUCCAGCCAUGCCGCGUGAGUGAUGAAGG